RNAcentral lists this ribosomal RNA (254 nucleotides) under uncultured prokaryote. Its description in RNAcentral is "partial 16S ribosomal RNA". It matches the Rfam family "Bacterial small subunit ribosomal RNA", at positions 522 to 775 of the family's 1533-position model. The record is from RNAcentral.
AAUACGAAGGUGGCAAGCGUUGUUCGGAUUUACUGGGCGUACAGGGAGCGUAGGCGGUUAGGUAAGCCCUUCGGGAAAUCUCCCGGCUUAACCGGGAAAGGUCGGGGGGGACUGCCUGGCUAGAGGACGGGAGAGGAGCGCGGAAUUCCCGGUGUAGCGGUGAAAUGCGUAGAGAUCGGGAGGAAGGCCGGUGGCGAAGGCGGCGCUCUGGAACGUUCCUGACGCUGAGGCUCGAAAGCGUGGGGAGCAAACAG